Molecule: ribosomal RNA, 230 nt
Filed under: uncultured bacterium
Lineage: Bacteria
Description: partial 16S ribosomal RNA
Rfam family: Bacterial small subunit ribosomal RNA
Source: RNAcentral
UGAGUAACACGUAGGUAAUCUACCUUUGGGUGGGGAAUAACUCAGGGAAACUUGAGCUAAUACCGCAUAAUGCAGCGGCACCGCAAGGUGACAGUUGUUAAAGGAGCAAUCCGCCUAAAGAGGAGCCUGCGGCAGAUUAGGUAGUUGGUAAGGUAAUGGCUUACCAAGCCUUCGAUCUGUAUCCGACCUGAGAGGGUGGUCGGACACACUGACACUGAAUAACGGGUCAG